GCCUGGGUGGCUCAGUCGGUUGAGCGUCCGACUUCGGCUCAGGUCUUGAUCUCACGGUUCAUGGGUUCGAGUCCCACAUCGGGCU
This 85-nucleotide transfer RNA is filed under the name Felis catus (domestic cat). It matches the Rfam family "tRNA". Rfam says of the family: Transfer RNA (tRNA) molecules are approximately 80 nucleotides in length. The record is from Rfam by way of RNAcentral. Lineage: Eukaryota; Metazoa; Chordata; Mammalia; Carnivora; Felidae.